GUGCCUAAUACAUGCAGUCGAGCGGACCGGAUUGGAGCUUGCUCUGGUUUCGGUCAGCGGCGGACGGGUGAGUAACACGUGGGCAACCUGCCCGCAAGACCGGGAUAACUCCGGGAAACCGGAGCUAAUACCGGAUAACACCGAAGACCGCAUGGUCUUUGGUUGAAAGGCGGCCUUUGGCUGUCACUUGCGGAUGGGCCCGCGGCGCAUUAGCUAGUUGGUGAGGUAACGGCUCACCAAGGCGACGAUGCGUAGCCGGCCUGAGAGGGUGACCGGCCCCACUGGGACUGAAACACGGCCCAGACUCCUAAAAGAGGGAGCAGUAGGGAAUCUUUCGCAAUGGGCGAAAGCCUGACGGAGCGACGCCGCGUGAGCCAAGAAGGCCUUCGGGUCGUAAAGCUCUGUUGUGAGGGACGAAGGGACGCCGUUCGAAGAGGGCGGCGGGGGGACGGUACCUCACGAGAAAGCCCCGGCUAACUACGUGCCAGCAGCCGCGGUAAUACGUAGGGGGCGAGCGUUGUCCGGAAUUAUUGGGCGUAAAACGCGGCGCAGGGGGUCUCUUAAGUCUUGAUGGGAAAGCCCACGGCUCAACCGUGGAGGGUCAUUGGAAACUGGGGGACUUGAGGGCAGGAAAAGAAAGCGGAAUUCCACGUGUAGCGGUGGAAUUGCGUAGAGAUGUGGAGGAACACCAGUGGCGAAGGCGGCUCUCUUGGCCUGGAACUGACGCUGAGGCGCGAAAGCGUGGGGGAGCAAAACAGGAUUAGAUACCUGGUAGUCCACGCCGUAAACGAUGAGUGCUAAGUGUUAGAAGGGUCACACC
This 820-nucleotide ribosomal RNA is filed under the name Geobacillus thermocatenulatus. RNAcentral describes it as "bacterial SSU rRNA". It matches the Rfam family "Bacterial small subunit ribosomal RNA", at positions 44 to 837 of the family's 1533-position model. The record is from RNAcentral. Lineage: Bacteria; Bacillati; Bacillota; Bacilli; Caryophanales; Anoxybacillaceae.